This 2197-nucleotide long non-coding RNA is filed under the name Anas platyrhynchos platyrhynchos (common mallard). RNAcentral describes it as "lncRNA (ENSAPLG00000021154.1)". The record is from RNAcentral. Lineage: Eukaryota; Metazoa; Chordata; Aves; Anseriformes; Anatidae.
UGGGGUCUGUGCUGGUGCCAGCCCUGGUUGCGUGUGGUGGCACCUCCAUGGGGUCCUCCCCGGCCAGGAGGGGAUCCCGCCCGUGCCCUGUGCUUGGAUGGAGGUCCCAGCAUGUGGGGAAGGGGGGGAGACCCCAUUUGAGGUGGAGGUGGCCCCGCUGCCCCUAUCCUUUGCCCCCUCCUCACUGAUGCUGGGUAUGGGGUCAGCACCCACCUCCUCACCCCACGCAAACCAACGGCUGCCCCCCAUUCCCCCCCAAGCCCCCCCACCCCCCUUUCCCCACUCUGCCAUCAUACAGCCCCCCCUUGGCACCCCAAUCCCCUUGGGGAGGUGGGGGGGGUCCCUCAAUCCCCUUGGAGAGGUCCCUCCCCAUCCCCACCUCCCCCCCCAACCCCCCAGCUUUUCCAAAGGGGGCGCAAGGGGGACUUGACCCCAGCUCCCCUCGGGUCCUCCCCCCUCGGGAAGGUGCCAGCCGGGGCCGCCCCCCCGCGGGGCGCUGCCCUGCCCGGCCCGGCCCCCGGUGAGUCACGCUCCAGCCGUGCGCUCCCGGGGCGGCGGGCGGGCGCCGAGGGAAGCAGGAAGCGGCGGGGGAAGGCACGGCACGGCUCGGCUCGGCACGGCUCGGCACGGCUCCUCUCCGCUCCCUUUCGCCCUGCCGGGCCCCGCUCCGGCGCCUCCCGGGCCCGUCCCCCCCCCUCCCCAUCCCUCUGCGCGCAGCGCUCCGUGCCCAUCCAUGGACGAGCGCGCCCCCCGGUGGACGGCGCGCCCCCGGGGGGGGGCCCCCCCCCCCCGCCCCCCCCCCCCCCCUCCCCGGGACCCCCCCGGGUGCCCCCGAGCUCUGUUGCCCCCUCCCCGCAGUCCGUUUUAUGCCCCCCGACCCCUUCACCCCAUAACAGCACUGGGGUGGGGUGGGUGCCCCCGGCCUCUCCGAGCUCCCCCUCUCCAAGCAGGAGGGGUGCUGGGGGGGGACAAGGUGUGGGGGUGACAAUUGGGGGGUGCCCCCCUUCGGUGACCCUCCUGCUGCGUCUCCAGGGGGGGCGCACGGGGUCGUGGCACCCGGUGGGUGCUGCCUGGCUCUUGGUGGGUCACCAAGUCCUUGUGGGGGGGGGACAAGGGGCUUUUUGUCCCCAAGGUGAGGACACAAGAGGCCACCCCCGCUGCUCCGGUGUCAGGGUGCUGGGGAUACCCUGGGGGUGCCACCAGUCGGUGCCAGUGACCUUGGCACGGCUCCGUGCCCUGCUCUUGGCACUCUCCCCCCCUCGUUGUAGGGCUGGGCCUCGGUUUCCCCACGGGGCAGCGGGCAGCCCGUGCCUUACCGCCGUCCCCAAACGUCCCCCGCCACCUCCGGGAGCCUUUUGCCACCCUCUCCGUGCCGAGGGGGGAGCCCGGCUAACGUGCGCCGCGUCGCCCUUUCCGCGGGGUGAGGUCACGGCCUCCCAGUCUCGCCCAUCUCCCGGGCUAAUCGUCUCCCGGCGUGUUUAUCUGCUCGGUUCCAGCCUCGCUCUUCCAGCCCUGCCUUGCCCUUCGCCCCGGGGCCCGACGGGUCGCCUCGCCGGCUCCCUAAUAACCUGGGCGCUUCGGCACCUGGGUGCCCUGCCCCAGCCCUGCUCCUGCUUUGCAUGGCGAGGCCGCGGUGGGUGCCAGCACCUGAGGUGGGUGCCGGCACCCUCCUGCCCUCCCCGUCCUCUGGAGAGCACCUCCUGGGUGCAGCAGAGCGAAUGCCCGGCCUUCCUCUUCCUCCUCUCCUCCUCCUCCUCCUCCAGCCAAGCGCGGCGGAGGCUCCCCAGCGGUCGCGGGGGUGCCGAGGGGAUGCUUGGAGGGGGGCGUCGGGGUACCCGGGCGGGAGCUGCGGAGGAGUUAAUGGAGGGAAAAGGCAGCGGGAAGGCAGCGGCGCCUCUUCCUGCGAGCGCCCGCGCGCCUGCGCGCCGGCCGAGCAGAUGGGUGAGCCUGUGUGGUUUGUGGGUGUGCCCCCGCGGGGCCGGCUGCGUGCGAGGCAGGCGUGCGCGAGGCCGCGUGCGUGUGCAUGCGUGUGGGGUGUGUGUGUGUGUGUGUGAGCCCGGCAGUGUUUGCCUAACCUUGCGGGGAGGUGCCGGGUUUGGGGAGGGGGAUUUGGCACGGCCACGCUGGGCCAGCUGGGGUGUGAGGCUCCCGUGCAGCGCAGGGGGGGGAUUUGGGGUGUGCGUGCACACGCGUGUGC